GUUUUUCCCAUUACUAGUUACAAAUAUUGAUUUACCUUUAAAUCUAAAAGUGUUAAAUGGUGUAAUCUUUGCUGCGAUUUUUCGUUGUAGUGUUCUUGAUCUCAUUGGCCGUUUUGGCACUACACAGAUUGCCGCGCUUCAUGCAAGUGCAUACACGUCAAAAUGCUACAGUCUCGUGUGAUCUCGCGAGAUUACGCCUCCAGGUCGUGGAAAGUUCCAGACAAUACAGCUCGGAAGUCUGUAUUGAAGUCUGUAUUUAACUGUUAUGGGCCUUCUUCCAUUUUGCAUCCAAUCCGCUUGACAAUGGCACCCACAGUUACCCAGGAGACAGGCCUUUAUGUGAGGGGCAUGUGCUGAAAAAAGAUGUUUUCUACCUCUCUCUUGUCCAGUUUUCCACGCGUUCUGCCUUUUUUUCUGGAAAAUGGGGGUAAAUUGAGCUUGGAGAUGAUUCCUGAACCAGUGGUUGCUCUGUGCUCUCCAUUUUUGCUUCAGGAACAGCAUUGGAGUUGUGGUGACAACAGUGGAAUAUCUAUCCUGAAAGCGCUGCUUGAUACUAGUUCUGAUACAAAGUUGCGUUUGACCAUUAUAUAAAAAAAAAUGUCUGGCCACCUAACCAUUUAAUCUUACCUGUCAAUGUAUGUGAUGCUCCUGAAUUACAUUCACAGCACAGAAUGUCUAAACGUUUUCUUCCUUCUUCAGCCAGAUGUUUUUAAAUGGUGUAAAAGGUACUAUGCAGUUUGGUUCUAAAUAUUGCUGGACUGGCUGAAAAAGUGCUAUGGAUAAUAUUUCAACAGGGAGCUCUCCUUACGUGCAGCCUUCAGCAAUGAUGGAUAAUGCUUGCAUCAGGUUACUCUGGCCUCUCAUUUAACCAAGCCUCAACAUUAUAAUUACCAACCAUGCAUUCCACCUGGAAAAAAUCUUCCAGCAUGGAUUGGUCAUUCCAGAGAUAACCUGUCCUUUGCUAAUCG
This is a long non-coding RNA of Ictalurus punctatus (channel catfish), 968 nucleotides long. The record is from Ensembl. Lineage: Eukaryota; Metazoa; Chordata; Actinopteri; Siluriformes; Ictaluridae.